GACGAACGCUGGCGGCGUGCUUAACACAUGCAAGUCGAACGGAAAGGCCCUGCUUGCAGGGUACUCGAGUGGCGAACGGGUGAGUAACACGUGGGUGAUCUGCCCUGCACUUCGGGAUAAGCCUGGGAAACUGGGUCUAAUACCGGAUAGGAGCCAUUUUUAGUGUGAUGGUUGGAAAGCUUUUUCGGUGUAGGAUGAGCUCGCGGCCUAUCAGCUUGUUGGUGGGGUAAUGGCCUACCAAGGCGGCGACGGGUAGCCGGCCUGAGAGGGUGGACGGCCACAUUGGGACUGAGAUACGGCCCAGACUCCUACGGGGGGAAGAAGUGGGGAAGAUUGCACAAUGGGCGCAAGCCUGAUGCAGCGACGCCGCGUGGGGGAUGACGGCCUUCGGGUUGUAAACUCCUUUCGCUAGGGACGAAGCUUUUUGUGACGGUACCUAGAGAAGAAGCACCGGCUAACUACGUG
RNAcentral lists this ribosomal RNA (465 nucleotides) under uncultured bacterium. Its description in RNAcentral is "partial 16S ribosomal RNA". It matches the Rfam family "Bacterial small subunit ribosomal RNA", at positions 28 to 507 of the family's 1533-position model. The record is from RNAcentral.